UACAGAGGUCUCAAGCGUUGUUCGGAUUCCUUGGGCGUAAAGGGUGUGUAGGUGGCGCGCUAAGUCGGGUGUGAAAUUUCGGAGCUUAACUCCGAAACUGCAUUCGAUACUGGCGUGCUUGAGGACUGGAGAGGAGACUGGAAUUCAUGGUGUAGCAGUGAAAUGCGUAGAGAUCAUGAGGAAGACCAGGGGCGAAGGCGGGUCUCUGGGCCGUAACUGACGCUGAGGAGCGAAAGCGUGGGGAGCGAACAGG
RNAcentral lists this ribosomal RNA (253 nucleotides) under uncultured bacterium. Its description in RNAcentral is "partial 16S ribosomal RNA". It matches the Rfam family "Bacterial small subunit ribosomal RNA", at positions 524 to 776 of the family's 1533-position model. The record is from RNAcentral.